UACGAAGGUGGCAAGCGUUGUUCGGAUUUACUGGGCGUAAAGAGUGCGUAGGCGGUUUGAUAAGUCAGAAGUGAAAGCCCAGGGCUCAACCUUGGAAUUGCUUUUGAAACUGUCUUACUUGAAUCCGGUAGAGGUUGGCGGAAUUCCCAGUGUAGAGGUGAAAUUCGCAGAUAUUGGGAGGAACACCAGUGGCGUAAGCGGCCAACUGGACCGGAAUUGACGCUGAGGCACGAAAGCAUGGGUAGCAAACAGG
This 253-nucleotide ribosomal RNA is filed under the name uncultured bacterium. Its description in RNAcentral is "partial 16S ribosomal RNA". It matches the Rfam family "Bacterial small subunit ribosomal RNA", at positions 524 to 776 of the family's 1533-position model. The record is from RNAcentral.